UACAGAGGUCUCAAGCGUUGUUCGGAUUCAUUGGGCGUAAAGGGUGCGUAGGUGGCGCUGUAAGUCGGGUGUGAAAUUUCGGAGCUUAACUCCGAAACUGCAUUCCAUACUGCGGUGCUUGAGGACUGGAGAGGAGACUGGAAUUCAUGGUGUAGCAGUGAAAUGCGUAGAGAUCAUGAGGAAGACCAGUGGCGAAGGCGGGUCUCUGGACAGUUCCUGACACUGAGGCACGAAGGCCAGGGGAGCAAACAGG
Molecule: ribosomal RNA, 253 nt
Filed under: uncultured bacterium
Lineage: Bacteria
Description: partial 16S ribosomal RNA
Rfam family: Bacterial small subunit ribosomal RNA
Source: RNAcentral